Zeugodacus cucurbitae (melon fly) is the source of this 3360-nucleotide long non-coding RNA. RefSeq lists it as uncharacterized. The record is from RefSeq and is a predicted model, not a curated record. NCBI's taxonomy places the organism in Eukaryota, Metazoa, Arthropoda, Insecta, Diptera, Tephritidae. The transcript has 3 exons.
CAAAAACUCAUAUUGAUAAACUGAUGUAUUUGUCUUGUUCUUUUUCUUUACAGGUUCCUCGACUGAAGGCGGAAAUUUUUCUUGCGAAUCUAUGAAAGAGUUAUUUGGGGAGAGUGCACACUCCACAACUUCGUAAACUCCUCUACUCUCCUCCACCAAUGUUUCCAAAUUGAAACUUUUAUAGCUGCCGAGAAUGCCAUUAAUUUUAGUAUAAUAUUCCCAAGUGGAAGGGCUGCCACCAGAGGGACCAACAAUUUUCCUAUCAUCUCUGGAAAUAGGUGCGGUGGGAGGUACUUAAUUUGAUGGUGCAGCACUUGCAGUUUCACACUCUGUUGGCUCCAAAAUCUCGAUUUCUAUGAACUCAGCAGGACUCGCGGACACAGCUGAGGGGAAGGCGAUUAAGUGACAUGGAGUGGCUGCAUUGCCGGCAAACGUUUGCCAAAAAUUUACUUUGUUACAACGUUUUCCAUCCGUGAAAGGGCAAGAGAAUCCCCCUAUUAUUUUAUUUUAUCAAACGAUGUAAUAGAUAUAUACAUAGUAUUUUUGCAAAGUUCUGCACCGAUAUCUUCACUUUAUAUAUUGUAAAGUAAACGAUUCAGAUUGUCUUCAAAGUUCUGGUAUAUAGGAAGUAGGCGUGGUUGUGAAGCGAUUUGGCCUAUUUUCACAACAUAUCAUUGGGAUGUAAGGAAACUAUUACAAACCUAGUUUCAUUGAAAUCGGUCGAGUAGUUCUUGAGGUAUGGUUUUUUACCUGUAAGUGGGCGACGCCACGCCCAUUUUCCAUUUUGUAAAAAAAUCUGAGUGCAGCUUUCAUCUGCCAUUUCUUAUGUGAAAUUUAGUGUCUCUGACGUUUUUCUUUAGUGAGUUAACCCACUUUUAGUAAUUUUCAACCUAACUUUUGUAUGGGAGGUGGGCGUGGUUAUGAUCCGAUUUAUUUCAUUUUUGGACUGUAUUAGGAAGUGGCUAAAAAAACGACUGCUGAAAGUUUGGUUUAUAUGGCUCUAUUGGUUUGCGAGAUAUGUACAAAAAACUUAGUAGGGGGCGGGGCCACGCCCACUUCCCCAAAAAAAUUACAUCCAAAUAUGCCCCUUCAUAGUGCAAUCCUUCAUACCAAAUUUCAUUUCCAUAGCUUUAUUUAUGGCUUAAUUAUGGCACUUUAUGUGUUUUCGGUUUUCGCCAUUUUGUGGGCGUGGCAGUGGUCCAAUUUUUCCCAUUUUCGAAAGCAACCCUCUCACGGUCCCAAGGAACAUGUGUUCCAAGUUUCAUCAAGAUAUCUAAAUUUUUACUCAAGUUAUCCGUUGCACGGACGGACAGACGGCCAGACAGACAUUCGGAUUUGAACUCCACUCUUCACCCUGAUCACUUUGGUAUAUAUAACCCUACAUCUAACUCGUUUAGUUUUGGGUGUUACAAACAACCGUUAUGUGAACAAAACUAUAAUACUCUCUUUAGCAACAUUUGUUGCGAGAGUAUAAAAAUUAUUUCGAUACAUGAAUUCAGAUGAAGUUCUCGAAUUUUAAAUAAAAAUCGUAACAGUAGAACAGUUUAAUAAAAUCAUUUAAAAAAAUCCUAAUAGCGAAAAAUAAACAAGUUAUGAAAUUAAUAAUUAUUGAAAACAAGUAAGGAAAGGCUAAGUUCGGGUGCAACCGAACUUUUUAUACUCUCGCAAUUUAUUAAUGCAAUUUUAUGAAGAUAACACAAUUCGACCCAUAAAUUCGGCAUAAAGUUUAGUAGAAUAACGAAAAUCAUCAUAAAUAGUAUAUGGGACUUAGGUAAUUCCUGUACAGGGGGAAGUUAUGACCCGAUUUCAACCAUUUUUGGUACCGAGACAAACUAUUAUAAGAAAAAAAUUCAGAGGGAAUGAAUUACAUUAAAAUAUCUGAGAGAUUUACCUAUAUUUUCGGUGAAAAAUUACCCUUAGGCCUUGAAAAGUCAUGGUCCGAUUUUGACAAUUUUUCCACAAGUGAUGUCACAGCUCAAAUACAGUAUUUGUGUAAAGUUUUAUGCUGCUAUCUUUAUUGGUUCAUAAUGUAUAUAUUAUAAAGUGAACGAAUCAGAAGAAUUCCAAAUUGAGUUAUAUGGGAAGUAGGCGUGCUUGUGAACCGAUUUCUACCAUAUUCCACCCGUGUCAUAUUAUAUGAAAAUAUUACAUACCGAAUUUCAUUGAAAUCGGUCCAGUAGUUCUUGAGAUAUGGUUUCAGACCCAUAGGUGCGUGACGCCACGCCCAUUUUCCAUUUUGUAAAAAAAGCUCAGUGCAGCUUCUUUCUGAUAUUUCUUCUGCAAUAUUUAGUGUUUCUGACGUUUUUCGUUAGUGAGUUAACUCACUUUUAGUAAUUUUCAACAUAACCUUCGUAUGGGAGGUGGGCGUGGUUAUUAUCCGAUUUCUUUCAUUUUUUGACUGCAUAAGGAAAUGGCUAAAAGAAACGACUGCAGAAAGUUUGGUUUAUACAGGGUUUUUGGUUUGCAAGAUAUAUACAAAAAACCUAUUUGUAGGCGGGAUCAUGCCCACUUUUCAAAAGAAAAUUGCAUCCGAAUGUGCCCCUUCCUAAUGCGAUCAUGUGUUCCAAAUUUUAUUUCCAUAACUUUAAUUAUGGCUAAGUUAUGACACUGUAUAGGUUUUCGGUUUUCGCCAUUUUGUGGGCGUGGCAGUGAUCCGAUUUUGCCAUCUUCGAAAGCAACCUCCUCAGGGUGCCAAGGAAUAUGUGUUCUAAGUUUCCUUAAGAUAUCUUUAUUUUUACUCAAGUUAUUGUUUGCACGGACAGACGGACGGACAGACAUCCGGAUUUCAACUCCACUCGUCAUCCUGAUCAUUUAUAUAUAUGGGGCAUUCUCUGGAAAAAAAGCCACUUGAAAAAAAGUUCUUUAUUUACUUUGGCAAUUAUAUAUCUUAUAGUACAUGCAAAACCUAAAAUAAAACAUAUGGUUUUAGGUCUGUGUAACGCGGGGUUGCCAUAUUAUAAGGGGCCAAAGUUUUUUGUAAACAAAUUUUCGAACCGCCAUAACUUUAAAACUAUUGAACAGAUUUUAAAACACCAUGUGACUUUUUUGUACAGAAUUUCUCAAACUUUGAAACUGUAUAUCGUAAAAAUUUUUAAAAUUAAUAUUUCAUAGCAAAAAAUGAAAAAAAAUUUUUUUGGAAUUUUUAACAACUUAUGCCCCCUUCGAUUUUUUUCGAAAAUAUCUUAAAAUGUUCCUUAUUUCAUCACCUUUUUACCCCCCAAAGGGAAUUUUGGGACAGCAAUAUUUGUAUGAGCUACAAAUAAAAAACCAACUCAGAACAUAAUGAAAAAUCAUUGAUUUAUGCGCUAUUAUUAUCAGAAUUUAGCGUAACCCAGGAUGAACAACGUGGACGUAGCAGAC